UCUGCACUUCUCCAGCCAUUAUGAAGACACUGGUUUAAAUCUAACGACCCCAGAGGGGUCUAGUCUAAAUCAGAACACUCAUAUUUUGCAGAGUAAAAGAGUAAAGCAGCAAAUCUAGAAAUGCAGCCAUGUUGAAGAUAAUCUUUCAGGAAAUGGACAAAAUCUGCAGUUAUUCUUCUGGCAAAGCUGCCGUGGAUUGGUCCCAUAAUGUCUGUAGUAUUUACAGAUUCCACAACUAAGCUGAAAAAAUCAUCCUGUCUCUGAAAUCUGUUAAAGUACAUGCAAAUCUUCUAGUUACAGUGGUAAAUUCCUACUGAAAUCUGUAUUGUUUCAACUUAUACAUAUAUCCCCAUAUUUUAAAAGUAAUAUUACACUUUAAAGCACAAUUAUAUGCAGAUUAGCAAAACAUUUUCCACAAAUACAUGCAAAUGUGUUGCAGUGCCACCCGAACAAAAAUUGUAAGAAAAUACACAGAGAAAAGUUUCUGAACUAGGAGAGGAAAGUUGUGUUCAGUCUGUAUUACGUAAAGAUUGGUUUAAUGGCUGGUGGUGAAAACUGGAAAGGAGGAAAAAAUAUUUAAUGAAUGAAAUCUAGCUUUUGCGAGGCCGAAGAAAAAUCUGUUUCCUGAAGCACUGGAAACGUGACUUGAGAAAACCUACAAACUCCAGACGAUUCAGCUGAGGCCGCCAGUGUAAUCAUAGAAUGAAUCAUAAUCUCACUUAAGCUUCUGCGAUUUCAUUUCAUUAGUCAGAGCAAGCAACAUCUUCACGUGUCUUCAUCCCUCCUUAGAAAGAAAGUAGAGCGGACAUGGAUGCUUACCAGAAAGCAGUGAUUUUAUGCCAAAAGCGAACACAACAAGUGAAGCUAAAAGUACUAGAGAGCGUUGCAUAAAUGUGGUGUGUGAAGAUUUUUUUUCCUUCAGAUUUGAUUCUUCUCUACGUUGAGAUUGUCACCCAGGAGCCAGAUAAAGAAGUGCCUGAGAUAAUAGCUGUGUCUGGAUCAUUCACGCCAGUUUUCUGAUGGCAAAGCCUGGAGCUAGAAUAUGUGAGCUGCCCUAACACAGUGUUCCACUCUUCUUGGACCUGAAAGCCCUCCUGGCUGCCUCCCAGUUCCAUGAAAUCUGCUGCUGAAACUGUCAUUGGAAGCUUGAGGGAGAUGCAAGGAAAAGCAGGACACACAAAUAAGAGAGGCAGAUGACUGGAAAUUCAAAGCCAUUAGGAACAGACCGAUGAUGGGCUCUGGGACCCCUGGAGCUCUGAGCUGGAGGACCGUGACUACAGGAACAGUAAACUCCCAGCCAGUCCAGAACUUGUGCAGGAUUUGCUGGUCCAGCUGGACACAGUGCAGCACCAACAAUGGACCUUUUAUGGGACCCCCGCUUCUUAUGGAGUGCUUGAUAUAUGAAAGUCUCUCUUCAGAGCUGUCUGCCUUGUUACAAUAUCUUCUAUGGACAGGGGCAGGCAUUUUUCAGUCAAGUUCAACUAAGUGGCCCACAAGGGAGCUGUCUCUGUUGUCCAAGCUAUCAAGAUACAUUUAUGAGCCAGCAUCAGUUGAUAAAGAAGGCAAGCUACAUCUGUCCCCCAGCACUUGAGGUCACCGAGCAAUUCCAGGACUACCCCAACACUCAGAGGACAUGUCUUCUGAGCAGCACGGGAUAGAUGGUGUCAUAUCUCACACUCUUCCGUGACAUUAAUGUCAUAACAGUCAUUUAUAGCAUUUCUUGGUGGAAAGCUACCAGAUAUGGACCUCUUCCAGCCACAAGAAUUUGCUGACCUCAUGGGAAAAGGUAUGAUUGUAAAUCUGACAAUUAUAAAAAGGCAAGAUAUAUCCUUCUUUACAGAUAAUGAGCUAGAGACAUUUGAAAAUUAAAGUGAUAGAAGAACUUAAAUAAUCAUUAAAAGAAUUAUUUUAAAACAUUAUUCCCAUGCAUGACAUGUAAUCCAGCAUUAAGGAUUUUAAUAAAUAAAAACACAGCAAACAAAACCAGACAUUUUCUGAACAGCAAAGCCACUUCAGUUGGUGCCUUGUGCAGUUAUGUCUUAUAAUGGUGCCUCACAAGGUAUGUUCACCAACCGAAGCUUCCAUGGUUGGGACACUCAAGUAACAUUGCCCUCAUGUGGAUUUUUUUGAGCCUAAUAGGUAGCAGGUUCAUCCUGCAACCUUUUUCUGAGAGAAAGGAAGAAAAAGAAAAUCUAUUAGGAACAACCUAACAUUUAAGGUGUACACAAUUCAUCUCUUAAAAGGACUACUUUUCUUUCAAAUUGGUUGAAAUUAGUCAAUUCAACAGAGACAAGUCAGAGUGGAAGGACAGAUAUAGAAGUGUGUGCACAAACCCACAGACUGCUCAUAUAAACUUUAUUUCCUUAGGAAGUCAGGAUAAAAACAUCUCAGUGAUUAAUACACAAACAGUGAUCGCUCAUAUCCUGCAGACUUUCAGGAAAUAACUGAAGCCUGCAAGUAUAUUUAACUGAGUCUGUAGCAGACAAAAUUAACUAAAAGAUGGAGAUGUAAUUGCCUGAGUCUGUACACAAAGUCAAGCUGAAAGAUAAAUGGCAGUUCCAUUUUCCUGUUGACUGUUAAAGUAAAUUAAUUAUCUGGGGUCAUGGAUUUGUUUCCAGAAAUAGGAAUGUGAAUCUCUGAAUUUGAAAGAGUUUGUAAUAAGUAGAAAAUGAAAGUGAUUUCUCAGAUAGAUUACCAUGCAGCUACAAUACUUCUGGGCCAUAUUUGCCCUUUUGAGGAUCAUUUCACAGAAGUGUGAAGUUUCUGCAUAGUGCUGCAGUAGACAAGGGUAACAUUAUUUAUUUGAUAGCCUCACCCUGCUUUUUUCCUAGGAUCUGGCUUUGGUUGGAGUUUCCCAUUACAUGAAGUUGAUUGCCCAGAACAAAUACGAUCAUGCUGUAACCCUUACAUGGUACUCAGUCUCAAGACAAUUUAGUUAUUUAACAAAUGUCCUCCAACAGGCAUGAUGUGCAGUGCAGCAGGAAUUACAGUUAUUUCCUGCAGUGAGUAUGAGGCUGUGGAUGAUGCCCCUGUAGCAGCAAAAUGGUGGAAUAUGGGAGAUGGUGGGCUCCAUGGCAGCUGGGAGGGACAGCUGGACUGUGAGACAGGGAGGACUGAAAAGAAUGGAAAAACAGCAGCAGCAGCAGCAAAAUAGCAGGCAACAAAUAGGAAGUGAGGAAGAAUUAUGGUAAAAUAGUUGAAAGCAUGUGAGGAGACCAACGGGCCUGAUGCUGACACUGGCAGACAAAACAGCUAAGAAUGCUGCUAUCGACAGCACAUGCUUGCAGCAGUGCACCGUGGUGAAUGGAUUCUGGCCCAUCAGCCAGGAUUGCUGUAGUGCAGCAGUGGCAGGUGCCAAAGAAAAUCAAAUGCCUGUUUUCUAGUAGUUUAAGGGCUGCUCAGGCUGGCGGCUGUAUGUAGGCACUAUUGCACCCUUGUCUGGUGCUGCUCCGUUGUCACUGUGUCAUAAAAUUCUUCUGUGAGAACAGGCUAGCCCUCAGUAACAGACAGGUUUAGCUUUCUACACUCCAAAUGUCAGCAAUCCUUGCAUGCAAAGGGCAGUGAGGCUCCCCUGUAAGAAAACAGAGCACAGGAACCUACCAGCAGUAGCUGAGACCUGAAGUGCCAGUCUAGGGAUGGGCUGGGUAGGUCUUUCUCGAUUUCUUCAAAUCAAACCAUUAGCAACCAGUCCUUGAAAACAAAGAAAGAAACAAAACAUAGGGACUAGAGGUCUGGAAACACCGGAUUAGACAACAGUUAAAAAUCAGAUGCUGAAGAAACUAUGCAAUAAUGAGAGUCCUAAAAGGACACAGAAAGCCCCUGAAAACAUAAGGAAGAUAUAGAAGAAUGGAUCUGGAAAGAUCAUGGAAAAGGAAAGACCAACUGAUUGACAGCAGGUGGAAUAUGAAGAUGGAAAGGAGGAAGUUAAGAGAUGUGGCAGACAAAACUACAAGUGGGAAGAGAGAGAAGAAACUAGAAUAAUGGAAAAAGGACACUACAGAGACCUGGACUGGGAAAGAACAGAAGCAAGGGAGAAGAUUUAGAAGUCUUAACACCAUCUGAGAAGUGUACAUCAGAACAUGCAUCCAUGUUUUUUUUUGUGUUUUUUUUUUUUUUCCCCUGACACUUGAAAAGUAAUGAAACCUAUGCAAGCAAUUAGCUUCAGGUAGAUCACAGGGCAACUGUAAUAUUCCUUUAUACCAUCAUUAUUUCACGUGAUGAUAUGUUGUUUAUGUGAGACGUUUGCUGGAGAAUUGCCAUCAACAUUAAUGAUGUUAUAUUAACAGGAGAAAAAAGCGACUCCACUGGCUUCCUUGCCCUUCUCUUCUCUGUGCUAAGCAAUUCUGCUGCUGUAUAGAAGUUUUCUGAGCAAUGUCUAAUGCAAUUUACAAACUGAAUUUCUUUUUACAUUGAGUUGACAGUGGGUGUUUAGUUCUUUUUCAUUGUAUUUGCAUCCCAAUAAACACUGCCAUUAAUCCAUGUUUCUUUAUCAUGAGUUGUUCUAAUUAGUCUGUUCAAAAAGUUAGGUUAAUCAAUAG
This is a long non-coding RNA of Cygnus atratus (black swan), 4538 nucleotides long. RefSeq lists it as uncharacterized. The record is from RefSeq and is a predicted model, not a curated record. The transcript is spliced from 6 exons. NCBI's taxonomy places the organism in Eukaryota, Metazoa, Chordata, Aves, Anseriformes, Anatidae.